AGUGAACGCUGGCGGUAGGCCUAACACAUGCAAGUCGAACGGCAGCACAGUAAGAGCUUGCUCUUACGGGUGGCGAGUGGCGGACGGGUGAGGAAUACAUCGGAAUCUACUUUUUCGUGGGGGAUAACGUAGGGAAACUUACGCUAAUACCGCAUACGACCUACGGGUGAAAGCAGGGGAUCUUCGGACCUUGCGCGAUUGAAUGAGCCGAUGUCGGAUUAGCUAGUUGGCGGGGUAAAGGCCCACCAAGGCGACGAUCCGUAGCUGGUCUGAGAGGAUGAUCAGCCACACUGGAACUGAGACACGGUCCAGACUCCUACGGGGAGCAGCAGUGGGGAAUAUUGGGCGAUGGGGCCAAGCCUGAUCCAGCCAUACCGGGUGGGUGAAGAAGGCCUUCGGGUUGGAAAGCCCUUUUGGUGGGAAAGAAAAGCAGCAGGUUAAUACCCCGCUGUUCUGACGGUACCCAAAGAAUAAGCACCGGCUAACUUCGUG
RNAcentral lists this ribosomal RNA (492 nucleotides) under uncultured bacterium. Its description in RNAcentral is "partial 16S ribosomal RNA". It matches the Rfam family "Bacterial small subunit ribosomal RNA", at positions 29 to 507 of the family's 1533-position model. The record is from RNAcentral.